AUGGCAGCCGCCAGCGACAAACACCGAAAGGAUGUAGCCGAACUCGAGCACGGACUCGAGCACAAUGGCGACAUACACCUCCUCCCAACGUCAAUCGCACGCUCGUACGCGCGCCCGCGGUCCCGACGCGCCCGACAUGUCCAGUGCGCACCCAUAACACUCACCGGUCGUGCCCGGCUCGUCGCCGCGGCUUAUUGCCCUGCACCGCUGCGGCCUCAACCGCAGCGCAACACCUCCAUGCCGAUGUGUGUCGUUGAAGCCGCCACCACGCAGGUCCUCCACGACCUCCUCACCGUGCCGCCGCAGCCACCGCGGCCUCCUCGCUGCGCCGCGAACCUCCAUAGACCGACACACGGCCCGGAGCUUCACCGUGCCGCCGGCGGCGGACGCCGCCACCGCCGGCACGCUUCCGACAAGGGGCGACACCCAAGAUGA
This 435-nucleotide ribosomal RNA is filed under the name Triticum aestivum (bread wheat). Its description in RNAcentral is "partial small subunit ribosomal RNA". The record is from RNAcentral. Lineage: Eukaryota; Viridiplantae; Streptophyta; Magnoliopsida; Poales; Poaceae.